RNAcentral lists this ribosomal RNA (254 nucleotides) under uncultured bacterium. RNAcentral describes it as "partial 16S ribosomal RNA". It matches the Rfam family "Bacterial small subunit ribosomal RNA", at positions 524 to 776 of the family's 1533-position model. The record is from RNAcentral.
UACGGGGGGAGCAAGCGUUGUUCGGAUUUACUGGGCGUAAAGGGCGCGUAGGCGGCCACCGCAAGUCAAUUGUGAAAUCUCCGGGCUUAACUCGGAAAGGUCAACUGAUACUGCGGGGCUAGAGUGCGGAAGGGGCAACUGGAAUUCUCGGUGUAGCGGUGAAAUGCGUAGAUAUCAAGAGGAACACCUGAGGUGAAGACGGGUUGCUGGGCUGACACUGACGCUGAGGCGCGAAAGCCAGGGGAGCAAACGGG